UGAUUGAUAAUGGUUGACCUUGGGCAAGU
RNAcentral lists this non-coding RNA (29 nucleotides) under Homo sapiens (human). The record is from RNAcentral. Lineage: Eukaryota; Metazoa; Chordata; Mammalia; Primates; Hominidae.